Molecule: ribosomal RNA, 500 nt
Filed under: uncultured bacterium
Lineage: Bacteria
Description: partial 16S ribosomal RNA
Rfam family: Bacterial small subunit ribosomal RNA
Source: RNAcentral
AUUGAACGCUGGCGGAAUGCUUUACACAUGCAAGUCGAACGGCAGCACGGACUUCGGUCUGGUGGCGAGUGGCGAACGGGUGAGUAAUACAUCGGAACGUGCCCAGUCGUGGGGGAUAACGUAGCGAAAGCUACGCUAAUACCGCAUACGAUCUACGAAUGAAAGCAGGGGAUCGCAAGACCUCGCGCGAUUGGAGCGGCCGAUGGCAGAUUAGGUAGUUGGUGGGGUAAAGGCUCACCAAGCCGACGAUCUGUAGCUGGUCUGAGAGGACGACCAGCCACACUGGGACUGAGACACGGCCCAGACUCCUACGGGAGGCAGCAGUGGGGAAUUUUGGACAAUGGGCGCAAGCCUGAUCCAGCCAUUCCGCGUGCAGGAUGAAGGCCCUCGGGUUGUAAACUGCUUUUGUACGGAACGAAAAGGCUCUGGUUAAUACCCGGGGCUCAUGACGGUACCGUAAGAAUAAGCACCGGCUAACUACGUGCCAGCCGCCGCCGUAA